This is a long non-coding RNA of Cydia amplana, 250 nucleotides long. RefSeq lists it as uncharacterized. The transcript is spliced from 2 exons. NCBI's taxonomy places the organism in Eukaryota, Metazoa, Arthropoda, Insecta, Lepidoptera, Tortricidae. The record is from RefSeq and is a predicted model, not a curated record.
UUGUAACGUUUUACAGUUAGUAUUUUCCUUGCGUUGGUGUGUUGAUAAAUAUUGUGUUUCACUCGGUAGCAAGGUAUUAGUAGUAGUAAAAUACUUUAUUGUACAAAAAGAAACAUAAAAUAUGAAAGAACACACAUCAUUAGUACAAAGGCGAACUUAUCCCUUUCAGGGAUCUCUUCCAGUUAACCCUUGAGCAAUUGAGGGAGAAUUGGAGAACGGUAGACAUAAAAGCUGUACUAAUCGGCAUAAA